AUGGUUAAGUUAGAAAGGGCGCACGGUGAAUGCCUUGGCACUAGGAGCCGAUGAAGGACGGGACUAACACCGAUAUGCUUCGGGGAGCUGUAAGUGAGCUUUGAUCCGGAGAUUUCCGAAUGGGGAAACCCACUGUUCGUAAUGGAACAGUAUCUUUAUCUGAAUACAUAGGAUAUUGAAGGCAGACCCGGGGAACUGAAACAUCUAAGUACCCGGAGGAAGAGAAAGCAAAUGCGAUUUCCUGAGUAGCGGCGAGCGAAACGGAAUUAGCCCAAACCAAGAGGCUUGCCUCUUGGGGUUGUAGGACACUCUAUACGGAGUUACAAAGGAACGAAGUAAAUGAAGCGACCUGGAAAGGUCCGUCGAAGAAGGUAACAACCCUGUAGUUGAAACU
Molecule: ribosomal RNA, 394 nt
Filed under: Priestia aryabhattai
Lineage: Bacteria; Bacillati; Bacillota; Bacilli; Caryophanales; Bacillaceae
Description: bacterial LSU rRNA
Rfam family: Bacterial large subunit ribosomal RNA
Source: RNAcentral